GAAGCCCACAAUUCAUAGUCCCUGCACCUCUGUUUUCCUUUCUUUCUUCUUCCUCGAGAAAACCCACGCAUAAUCCCAUUGAAAAAAAAAUCCCUGCUCCACCUUUGCUCUUCUUUCCUCCGUGAAAAGCAUCCUUUACCAAUUUUCUAGUCAUGUGUUACAAGCAGAUGAUAGUGCGGACAACUACGACACCGCUGAUGAGGACCUUGUUGGUGAGAUGGCAUUUUCCAGUCAUGGAAAGCAAAGGUGUAAGUGCUUGGAAUGCAGGAACUAUGACUAUAGGACAAUCUUGAAGCUGUGGAAGGAGUUUUAUGCUCAAUUUCAAGCAUCCAAAUGGUGGACCAUAACACACAUGAAAUUGAUUCCGAAGCAGUGGAGAGAGAGAGAGAGAGAGAUAGAGUUGCAGGAAGCUUUUGUGUGACUAGUUUGCUGAUUUCUUUCUUCGACCAUAGACUUGGAAUCGAAUUAUGAAAUCACUCAGACCACUGAGUUCUUUAGCAGUGGCGGCUUCACCAGAGUCGCUUUACAGAUGAGCUCCUAAAUGAUUUAGUGAUAGUUGGGAGAGUUUUGCUGGACAAGCUUAGGUGUCUACGAGAAUCUCUAUGAGAUCCCACUUCGGUUGGAAAGGGGAACGAAGCAUGGCUUAUAAGCAUGUGGAUACCUUUAUCUUGUAAACGCGUUUUAAACCCGUGAGGGCUGGGUUGUAAGAGGAUUCCCCAGCCCUAAAGCGGACAAUAUCUACAUGCGGGUGGUCUGGGCUGUCACAGAUGGUAUCAGAGCCAGAUCCGGAUCGGUGUGCCAGUGAGGAAGCUGGGCCCCAAGGGGGAAGGAUUGUGAGAUCCCACAUCGUUUGGAAAGGAAAAGGAAGCAUGGCUUAUAAGCGUGUGGAUACCUUUCCCUUGUAGACGCGUUUUAAACCCGUGAGGGCUGGGUUGUAAGAGGAUUCCCCAAGUCCAAAGCGGACAAUAUCUACAUGCGGGUGGUCUGGGCUAUCACAAUCUCAAUCUGAUAUUGACUGGAAUGGCAACAUAAAACAUGUAUCUUUGUGUAUGAUGGCCGACACAGCGUACGGUAGCUAUUGCGUGGAUGAGGUCGGAGCAUUGCACAUCAAUGCUGAUUAUGUCGUGCACUACGGCCAUGCAUGCUUCAGCUCGACUACAACUCUUCCAGGAUUCUUUGUUUUUGGAAAAGCUUCAACUGGUGUGUCCAAUUGUGUAAAAAAUUUAUCAGAUCAUGCUGUGAGAAAUGGCAAACAUGUCCUGGUCCCCUUUGGGCUAGAAUAUGCACAUUUGAUAUAGCAUAUGAGAGAUGAAGUGGUAGAAGCAUGUAUGUGUAGCUCUAGAUUAGAAAUCCAAUUUGCUGAAACUAUGUCUUCAGACAUAAAUCCAUCAGAAUCUCGUAAGAUCUCCAAUGGGAGCUUGGAAGCAGCUAGUGUCUUCUCUGAUGAUAAAUGUAUCAUGACAGUAGUUGGUAAUAGAUAUACCAUUGGAGGCUUGGUCUGGGAAUUACAUGAGGAACACAAAAUGGAGGACUGCUUGUUUUUUGUUUGCAAGUGUUGUACUGACGUUAAAUGGUUGUGAAAUAGAUAUGAUGCAAAGUCAAAUUGCAUGGUGACAGACUUAUCUCAACAAAGAAGAAUUCUUAAGCAUAGAUGUUACCUGGUCAAGAGAAGGUAAAGGAUAUGAACACUGUUGGUAUUCUGGUUGGAACUCUUGGUGUAGGUAAAACUGAGUCUUUAGAUCCAAAAACAACUAUUCUUGUACCCGAAGACAAAUAUAGACUUCAUGCAAUUGAUACAUUGGACCCUGACAUGGUAAGGCCUAAAUUCUAUUCUUUAAAUUUAUUUAAGUUCUUAUAUUAUGAAGCUAAUUUUUGCUUCUAUUUUGCUACUUGUAUGAAUUUUUUUUAAGGAGAAACUUCUAGAUUUCCUUUGUAGAUAUUUCUUACUGUCCUAGUUUUGGAAGAUUACCUACAUCCUUCUAGAAUCCCAAACCUGUUGUUGAUAUCCUGAACAAUUCCUUCCUUCUAUCUUGCCAGUUUUGUUGUUUGUGUUGUUCAAAGUGUAAUAUGAAAUAUUUAUUCCAGUUCAAACUAAAGCUCAAAUAACCAAUUCUAAUGGCAUCUUAUGGAGUAUAUGUAGGCAACAUCAGAAAUUUUUAUAUUAUAAUGAGCGGCCCAUCCUAUUAAGUGGCAUCUUUAACAAUGUAUUUAUUUAUAUGUUUUUACUAGUUGGUUUAUGCAGACAAGUUUCACUUUGAACUAUAUGUCUCUCACAAUAACUUCAUGUAAGAUUCUUUAAUAAAAAUUUUCAAUCUUUCACUCUUAAUAUGGUAAUGUUGCUAACCUGUUAACCUUACUAGUAUAUGUAGGAAAUUGAUAAUAAAGCUCUGCCUCCUAGAGUUUAUUACUUUACAUUUUGAAAGGCAGAGGAUGUGGUUAGCUCUUAGCAACAUGCUAGAAAAGGAUUUUGUCUUAGGCAAAAUUGCAAUCAACAAAGCAAACAACUUUGAUGACAGACACCUAUUGUCUUCAACAUGUUGCCUUCUUUUGAUUAAAAUAGAAAAAAAAAAGUUCACUGACAAAAUAAGUGAUGGUGAUUGAAGUAGAUCAGAAAUUUCAGGUUUUCAUAGAAGAAAAAAAAAUUGAACAGCCUUUGCAAUUGUAGAGCAUAAAAGUUACUAGUGCAGGUUCUGCCUUAGUGAAGAAUGUUUUAUUUUCUGGAGCUUCUUGGGUUGUUGGUGCUUUAAAUAAGAUUGUGAAACCAGCCAGAAGAUUGAGGAGAACAUAGGAAAGUGAUUGAAUAGGAACAAAAAGAAGAAAAAUGGCAUAAAACUAUGCUCAAGCUUAUCCAUCUGAGUCUACACCAAGCAAGGAUCAACCAUCUGAGGAUGAACCUGCUCAAGGUUUGAUGCUGAGAUAUGGUUCUGUAAAGUAAAUACUUUUUAGCAUUUGUAUUCAAUUCUAUUUAGAAGUGGCCCUUUUCUAGGCCAUUGGGUGAUUGAUGAGAGUUCAUCUAUGCCUUUAUAUAUGACAAUUUCCUAUAAUUUACUGAUGUUUAUGGAGCUAUCUAUUUCUUUUUUCAUAUGUUCU
Molecule: long non-coding RNA, 3090 nt
Organism: Ziziphus jujuba (common jujube)
Lineage: Eukaryota; Viridiplantae; Streptophyta; Magnoliopsida; Rosales; Rhamnaceae
Exons: 8
Source: RefSeq, a predicted model, not a curated record